This 468-nucleotide ribosomal RNA is filed under the name uncultured bacterium. RNAcentral's name for it is "partial 16S ribosomal RNA". It matches the Rfam family "Bacterial small subunit ribosomal RNA", at positions 28 to 507 of the family's 1533-position model. The record is from RNAcentral.
GACGAACGCUGGCGGCGUGCUUAACACAUGCAAGUCGAACGGAAAGGCCCUUCUGUGGUGGGGUGCUCGGGUGGCGAACGGGUGAGUAACAAGUGAGUAACCUGCCCUUGACUUUGGGAUAACUUCAGGUAACUGGGGCUAAUACCGGCUAGGAGCUCCUGCUGCAUGGGGGGGGUUGGAAAGGUUCGGCGUGUGGGGAUGGACCCGCGGCUUAUCAGCUUGUGGGGGGGGUAGUGGCUUACCAAGGCUUGGGCGGGUAGCCGGCAUGAGGGGGUGACCGGCCCAAUUGGAACUGGGAACCGACCCAGCCUCCACCGGGAGGAAGCAGAGGGGAUAAUUGAACAAUGGGCGAAGGCCUAAUCCAGCACCGCCGCGUGGGGGAUGACGGCCUUCGGUUUGAAACCGGCUUUAGCCUGUAACGAAGAGUGAGUGACGGUAAUGGGUAAAGAAGCACCGGCUAACUACGUG